GACAGAGGGGGCGAGCGUUGUCCGGAGUCACUGGGCGUAAAGCGCGCGCAGGCGGCAACCUAAGUGUCGUGUGAAAGCCCCCGGCUCAACCGGGGGAGGCCAUGGCAAACUGGGUCGCUCGAGCUGCGGAGAGGCACCUCGAAUUGCCGGUGUAGCGGUGAAAUGCGUAGAGAUCGGCAGGAAGACCAAGGGGGAAGCCAGGGGGCUGGCCGCAGGCUGACGCUGAGGCGCGACAGAGUGGGGAGCAAACCGG
RNAcentral lists this ribosomal RNA (253 nucleotides) under uncultured bacterium. Its description in RNAcentral is "partial 16S ribosomal RNA". It matches the Rfam family "Bacterial small subunit ribosomal RNA", at positions 524 to 776 of the family's 1533-position model. The record is from RNAcentral.